RNAcentral lists this ribosomal RNA (460 nucleotides) under uncultured bacterium. Its description in RNAcentral is "partial 16S ribosomal RNA". It matches the Rfam family "Bacterial small subunit ribosomal RNA", at positions 338 to 795 of the family's 1533-position model. The record is from RNAcentral.
CCUACGGGAGGCAGCAGUGAGGAAUAUUGGUCAAUGGGCGCGAGCCUGAACCAGCCAAGUAGCGUGAAGGAUGACUGCCCUACGGGUUGUAAACUUCUUUUAUAAAGGAAUAAAGUGAGGCACGUGUGCCUUUUUGUAUGUACUUUAUGAAUAAGCAUCGGCUAACUCCGUGCCAGCAGCCGCGGUAAUACGGAGGAUCCGAGCGUUAUCCGGAUUUAUUGGGUUUAAAGGGAGCGUAGUGGGGUUGUUAAGUCAGUUGUGAAAGUUUGCGGCUCAACCGUAAGAUUGCAGUUGAUACUGGCAGCCUUGAGUACAGUUGAGGUAGGCGGAAUUCGUGGUGUAGCGGUGAAAUGCUUAGAUAUCACGAAGAACUCCGAUUGCGAAGGCAGCGUACUAGCCUGCCACUGACAUUGAUGCUCGAAAGUGUGGGUAUCAAACAGGAUUAGAUACCCUGGUAGUC